This 404-nucleotide ribosomal RNA is filed under the name uncultured bacterium. RNAcentral describes it as "bacterial SSU rRNA". It matches the Rfam family "Bacterial small subunit ribosomal RNA", at positions 355 to 776 of the family's 1533-position model. The record is from RNAcentral.
UGGGGAAUAUUGGACAAUGGGCGCAAGCCUGAUCCAGCAAUGCCGCGUGGGUGAAGAAGGUCUUCGGAUUGUAAAGCCCUUUCGGCGGGGACGAUGAUGACGGUACCCGCAGAAGAAGCCCCGGCCAACUUCGUGCCAGCAGCCGCGGUAAUACGAAGGGGGCUAGCGUUGCUCGGAAUCACUGGGCGUAAAGGGCGCGUAGGCGGCCGCGUCAGUCGGGCGUGAAAUCCCCGGGCUCAACCCGGGGGCUGCGCCCGAGACGGCGGGGCUGGAGGACGGGAGAGGCUCGCGGAAUUCCCAGUGUAGAGGUGAAAUUCGUAGAUAUUGGGAAGAACACCGGUGGCGAAGGCGGCGAGCUGGCCCGUUUCUGACGCUGAGGCGCGACAGCGUGGGGAGCAAACAGG